AACUCCAACAAAUUUACCACGUAUGCAGA
Molecule: small RNA, 29 nt
Filed under: Bombyx mori (domestic silkworm)
Lineage: Eukaryota; Metazoa; Arthropoda; Insecta; Lepidoptera; Bombycidae
Description: ovarian small RNA-10431
Source: RNAcentral